RNAcentral lists this ribosomal RNA (397 nucleotides) under uncultured bacterium. RNAcentral's name for it is "bacterial SSU rRNA". It matches the Rfam family "Bacterial small subunit ribosomal RNA", at positions 358 to 771 of the family's 1533-position model. The record is from RNAcentral.
GGAAUAUUGCACAAUGGGGGCAACCCUGAUGCAGCGACGCCGCGUGAGUGAAGAAGGCCUUCGGGUCGUAAAGCUCUUUUCUGCGUGACGAGCAAGGACGGUAGCGCAGGAAUAAGUCUCGGCUAACUACGUGCCAGCAGCCGCGGUAAAACGUAGGAGACAAACGUUAUCCGGAGUUACUGGGCGUAAAGGGCGUGCAGGCGGUUGAUUAAGUCUGACGUGAAAGCUCCCGGCUAAACCGGGAGAGGUCGUUGGAGACUGAUGAACUAGAGGACGGUAGAGGCGAGUGGAAUUCCGGGUGUAGUGGUGAAAUGCGUAGAGAUCCGGAGGAACACCAGUGGCGAAGGCGACUCGCUGGGCCGUACCUGACGCUAAGACGCGACAGCAUGGGGAGCGA